AUUUUAGGCUAGGUUCAGGUCAUUUUUAAACUAUUGGAUGUGUAUAAACUUGUGUGUCAUGCACAGGUACUCACCAGGGUUGCCUUUUCUUCCACGUUUUCCUGGAGGACCUGUGAAAAGAGGCAACAGGCUGUGCAGAUAUCACUGAUCCCUUCCCCAAUGUGAAAGGAACACAUCCUUUUCCACAAGCUGGGCUGAUAGUUCUGGUGGAAACUUCCCCGGGAGUCUCCACCCCCAGAUAAGAGAGAAGCUGCAGCCCUCCUAAUACUCCUUAUUAGGAAGAAACAGCACUGAAGAUGCUCUUGUGUCUCAUCUACAUGGGCAGGGCUCUUCUGAGACCUUCUGGAUUCAUUUUCUCCAGAGAUGUUAUGCAUCAAAUUGAUCAAGUUAGUGGCAAGUGAAGUACGGCAUUUCUUGAUUUGCCAAACAACUGUGUGUAAUAAAGAUGUUUUCUCUCAGACAAUUCUGUACACAUUGUUCUCUUACCAAUAUUAAAUUAUUCUAAUCCACACAAGCUUUUAUUUGUAGGAAAAAGACAUACUUCUACCCCAACCUUUACAACAGGCCCUGUGUUAAAAGGUGAGGCAUACGAGAUUAAUUUAUAACUUUUAUUCACAUAAAACCUUAUUAUACUAAAAAGUCUCAAAGUUUGAAACCAUGUCAUGCAAACUGUAAUUGGUGCUGUUUAGCAUUUGAGGGAUUAACACAAAAAAUAGAAAUGAUGGUCUGUGUGAAAUGUUUCAUGAACUGAAUGACUGGUUUUGAAUAUGUAAGUGUCAUAUGGAAGACAUUUUCCACACUCUGCUCUACGAUCUGUGGUAAUCUAUACCAACACCCUUAUAAUGUCUCACAUAAACAUCGACUCCCCUCCACAGGGCAUGAGCUGGGCGUGGGAGAUUUAUCACAGAGAAAAGCACGGUCAGGCAUUUUUAGCUUUAUCUUUUACUUUUGAAAUUACCUAUUUUACCCAAAUAUGCUUGGAGGUAGAGUUCACUUCCUGUUCUCCUAAUUGAAACCACCAUAAUUCUUGUCAACUAGGCUAGUUUACAUUAAAACCCAAACUGCAUUACUGCAUUAACCAAAACAUGCCAGUUUACAAAAUAGACAAAGUAAAAAUCUAAACAUCUCAAAACAAACAAUUAAGACAGAUCAGUAAAAAUGGUCAUGUGCAAUUAUAGCUUAAUGUUCCAAUUCAAUAUCCUUGCGCUUGAUCAUUUUCAGUACACGCUUAUCUAAGAACUGCAUCCAUUAAAGUAUACAAAAUAAAUCUUCAUUGUGAAAACAAAAAAGGGAUUUUAGUGCAAAAACCAACACCUUUUCCAAAAGCCUGUCUGUUAAGCCCUUUUGAUACUACGAACAUCUCUACAAAUCCGCUGGUUCAUCCUCUAACCUCUAACCCAAGCUCCUCUCACUUCAGGCACAUAUACAAGCUCAUGUCUGUGUGACACAACCACCAAGUCCCUAUGUUAGCAACAAAUGUUGUUUUAUCAAAACUCAGACUACAUCAAAAACCACAUUACUCUAUAUGCACUUAUGCACUUUGCAGAACUGUACUGUAUAUCUAAGCAAUAACACAUGCAAGAACGCUGAUGUUCCAAAUCAAUACUAACAGCAUUAUUAGAAGUAUAAUAGCUUUUAUAAAACAUUUCAACAAACAAAACAAAAAUAUUGAGAAACAUUUUAGACACAAAUAUUGUCACUCAGUUUUUGCUUCGCCAACGAAAGUAGGCUAGUCCAAACAAAUCAAAAGCAGAAUCUCUCAUAUGAUGAGUAAACUAGUUGAGCAUAUGUCUCAAAAACUGUGUCCAAAACUGCCCUCUAUACCCUUAGUGCACUAGGGCACAAUAUCAAGUACACACAUUCCAUUCCACAAUGUACCUCAAAGUGCAUUCACGCCAGGGUAUUUAUCAUAGUAAUUAUCAUAAUUAUGAGAUUCAAACUUGUAAAAGGCAAUCACAUCCUCGUAGAACUUGUAAUUACACCUGAUAAACUGGGAAUUCUCUGAGAGCUACAAUUUGUAUCACCUGACUGCUGCAGUUUCAGCCUAUUUGUUAUCAACAGUGUUGCCAUAGAAAAGCAUAAUCCCAAGUCCAAGGACAUGAACAGUGCAGAGUAGAAUGUCAAGUGAUUUGAAAUCACAUUUCCAAAUUAUGGUAAUUUCAACAUGGCGUGAAUGCAUGUAUCAUUCAUUGUCAUCACUGUGUCAAAUGAAUUCUGCAUCUCACUAGAAGAUGGCAUCCCCAGCACUUCUGUAUAUACCAUAUAA
Carassius carassius (crucian carp) is the source of this 2266-nucleotide long non-coding RNA. RefSeq lists it as uncharacterized. The record is from RefSeq and is a predicted model, not a curated record. The transcript has 4 exons. Lineage: Eukaryota; Metazoa; Chordata; Actinopteri; Cypriniformes; Cyprinidae.